AUUGAACGCUGGCGGCAGGCCUAACACAUGCAAGUCGAACGGUAACAGGAAGCAGCUUGCUGCUUUGCUGACGAGUGGCGGACGGGUGAGUAAUGUCUGGGAAACUGCCUGAUGGAGGGGGAUAACUACUGGAAACGGUAGCUAAUACCGCAUAACGUCGCAAGACCAAAGAGGGGGACCUUCGGGCCUCUUGCCAUCGGAUGUGCCCAGAUGGGAUUAGCUUGUUGGUGGGGUAACGGCUCACCAAGGCGACGAUCCCUAGCUGGUCUGAGAGGAUGACCAGCCACACUGGAACUGAGACACGGUCCAGACUCCUACGGGAUGCAGCAGUGGGGAAUAUUGCACAAUGGGCGCAAGCCUGAUGCAGCCAUGCCGCGUGUAUGAAGAAGGCCUUCGGGUUGUAAAGUACUUUCAGCGGGGAGGAAGGGAGUAAAGUUAAUACCUUUACUAAUUUACGUUACCCGCAGAAGAAGCACCGUCUAACUCCGUG
This 490-nucleotide ribosomal RNA is filed under the name uncultured bacterium. RNAcentral describes it as "partial 16S ribosomal RNA". It matches the Rfam family "Bacterial small subunit ribosomal RNA", at positions 30 to 507 of the family's 1533-position model. The record is from RNAcentral.